AACAAACGCUGGCGGCGUGCCUAAUACAUGCAAGUCGAACGAGGAAAGCCCUUCGGGGUGAGUAUGAGUGGCGCACGGGUGAGUAACACGUGGAUAAUCUGCCUUAGAGUGGGGGAUAACUCCUCGAAAGAGGGGCUAAUACCGCAUAAGACCACAGAGACUUCGGUCUCAGGGGUCAAAGAUUUAUCGCUUUAAGAUGAGUCCGCGUCCAAUUAGCUAGUUGGUAGGGUAAAAGCCUACCAAGGCGACGAUUGGUAGCUGGUCUGAGAGGAUGAUCAGCCACACUGGAACUGAGACACGGUCCAGACUCCUACGGGAGGCAGCAGUAGGGAAUAUUGCGCAAUGGAGGCAACUCUGACGCAGCAACGCCGCGUGAGUGAUGAAGGGUUUCGGCUUGUAAAGCUCUGUCGUACGGGAAUAAAAAAAUGAAGGUACCGUACAAGAAAGGACCGGCCAACUUCGUGCCAGCAGCCGCGGUAAUACGAGGGGUCCUAGCGUUGUUCGGAAUUACUGGGCGUAAAGCGCAUGCAGGCGGCCAGGCCGUAUCAGAUGUGAAAGCCCGGGGCUCAACCCCGGAAGUGCAUUUGAUACCACCUGGC
RNAcentral lists this ribosomal RNA (599 nucleotides) under uncultured bacterium. Its description in RNAcentral is "bacterial SSU rRNA". It matches the Rfam family "Bacterial small subunit ribosomal RNA", at positions 28 to 641 of the family's 1533-position model. The record is from RNAcentral.